GGUUAAGUCCCGCAACGAGCGCAACCCUUGCCAUUAGUUGCUACGAAAGGGCACUCUAAUGGGACUGCCGGUGACAAACCGGAGGAAGGUGGGGAUGACGUCAAGUCCUCAUGGCCCUUAUAGGUGGGGCUACACACGUCAUACAAUGGCUGGUACAAAGGGUUGCCAACCCGCGAGGGGGAGCUAAUCCCAUAAAGCCAGUCGUAGUCCGGAUCGCAGUCUGCAACUCGACUGCGUGAAGUCGGAAUCGCUAGUAAUCGUGGAUCAGCAUGUCACGGUGAAUACGUUCCCGGGUCUUGUACACACCGCCCGUCACACCAUGGGAGCGGGUCUCGCCAGAAGUAGGUAGCCUAACCGCAAGGAGGGCGCUUAACACGGCGGUGCUACUAGAGCGGCUGAUGGCAGAUUAGGUAGUUGGUGGGGUAAAGGCUUACCAAGCCUGCGAUCUGUAGCUGGUCUGAGAGGACGACCAGCCACACUGGGACUGAGACACGGCCCAGACUCCUACGGGAGGCAGCAGUGGGGAAUUUUGGACAAUGGGCGAAAGCCUGAUCCAGCAAUGCCGCGUGCAGGAUGAAGGCCCUCGGGUUGUAAACUGCUUUUGUACGGAACGAAAAGCCUGGGGCUAAUAUCCCCGGGUC
Molecule: ribosomal RNA, 641 nt
Filed under: Comamonas zonglianii
Lineage: Bacteria; Pseudomonadati; Pseudomonadota; Betaproteobacteria; Burkholderiales; Comamonadaceae
Description: bacterial SSU rRNA
Rfam family: Bacterial small subunit ribosomal RNA (bases 1-433)
Source: RNAcentral